Pelobates cultripes (western spadefoot toad) is the source of this 2224-nucleotide non-coding RNA. The record is from the annotation of a GenBank genome assembly. Lineage: Eukaryota; Metazoa; Chordata; Amphibia; Anura; Pelobatidae.
AGAUUAUAUUCUAUACAUAUAUAAAAAGACAGAUUCACUGACAGCCAUGUACAGUAUUAAGAAAAUCUGUAAUAUAUAUAAUCUAUGGAAAGAGAAAAAUUAUAAAACAUUAUUUUAUUACAAAAAAAAAAAAAAUACUAAUAAGAGGGUAAUAAAUGUGCAGUUGUUUAUGCUACAAAUCUGCAUAAUGCUCGGUGCCCUCUCUAAGAGCAUGUAUGGGUUAACACGUUGUCUGUAUAAAAAGACAAGUGGAAGUACUGUGCGUGGGCGUGUGUGUGAGAAAAUGUAAGGGGAUUAUUUACUAAACAGUGAGCCGUAAUAAAAUUACUAACGACUUAGUAUAAUGAUACAUUUAUUAUAAUUUACACAAUUAUACAAGUUGCAUUUUAAAUCUCAGCCAUAUCCCCUCCAUACUGAGAUUUAGCCAGAAAACUGAGAAUUGUGACUCCAUGAGGUUAUUGCAUUUUUUAAGUAAAAUAGUCAAAGUGGACAUGAUACCUCCCAACAUUUCAAAUGGGCAAAGAGGGACACUUUAAUUUUAGGGGUGUGGUCAGGGCGGGGCUGUCCUGAGAAAUUUUAGGUGACUUACUAAUAACCAUUUAAACAACUAAAAUUUAACUCAGAACAAUGUAUCUUAUUUACACAGACUGAUUUCUUAACACAUUUAUUGUAGUUUAAAGACACAUUACUGGGAGUAUUAUUGCUGUGGAGCUCUGUUAUACACUCAGACACAUUACUGGGGGUAUUAUUGCUGUGGAGCUCUGUUAUACACUCAGACACAUUACUGGGAGUAUUAUUGCUGUGGAGCUCUGUUAUACACUCAGACACAUUACUGGGGGUAUUAUUGCUGUGGAGCUCUGUUAUACACUCAGUCAUAUUACUGGGAGUAUUAUUGCUGUGGAGCUCUGUUAUACACUCAGACACAUUACUGGGAGUAUUAUUGCUGUGGAGCUCUGUUAUACACUCAGACACAUUACUGGGAGUAUUAUUGCUGUGGAGCUCUGUUAUACACUCAGACACAUUACUGGGAGUAUUAUUGCUGUGGAGCACUGUUAUACACUCAGACACCAACAAUAUGGACUUCCUAUUAAAGGGACUUUUUUUUUAUUUUGACCUUCAAUUUUCAAUUUCUUGUCCCUAAUUAGCAUUUUAGAGGAUAAACGCCAUUGUCGGCUACAUUGACCACUUUGCAAGCUAAUUUAGUGAUAUCAUGACUCACUGUUUAGUGAAUGUCCCCUAGAUGAGAGUUGAGUUUGUGUCGUAUGGAAUGGCAUGGGGUCCCUUGAGAUUGCCUGCUGCUAUAUGUCUUGCACAGAAUGGUAUAUUAAGCUUUUCCCAUAUUUACCAUUGACCUACUUUCUAUAACCAACAUAGCGCAUGAUACAUGGUGGAGAAUAAACAGAACAAUGUAUCGGUGAUUUCUGGUAUUAAUCCAGCCCAGGGAUUUAACAGAAUGGGGCUGCAUUUAUAAUAAAAGUAAAGCUUUAGACAGAGUCUUUGCACCUGAUUACCAUUUACACCCCACAAAUGAGCACAUGGUAGUGACUACCUGGAAAUUGGACAAUAAACUGCAAAAUUCCAGGCCAGACUAGACGAUCAGGAAUAAUAUUCCAAUUUAGGCUAUUUUGGUCUACAGUGUGCAAUUCUCCACAAUUCCCAGUUCGGUGUAUUAACUAAUUUAUGGAGAUUUUAUAAGGCAAACUAAGUUAGAAAAUUCUAUUGCAGGGUGAGCCAGUGGUUUUCUACAGACAUUGAUUAUUAGGUUUACAUCGGGAGCCUCUUUGGUAGUAAUGUCGAUUCUUGGUAUCCUAAAUGUUUGUGAACUACAUUUAAUAACACUAAGCCAUCGUAAAUACGGUUAAACAAUGGCAGCUCUCGCCAUUCUAGGGCACAAAUAUUUGAGUUUUGACUAAAGUAAAAUCUCAAGUGAGCGGUCCGUUAAAUCAAUGUACAUAUUGAAAUCUGUUUCAUUGUUAUUAUGGGCUAUGUUACUUAUUCCGUGUUGUUAUCAUGCAAAGUGCUGUGGUCCUAAACAAGGAGCUGUUCAAAUAAAAUGCAAUAGCAUAUGGCUGACAAAGGAACUCAAAGUAUGCAUGUUGAUUAUAAAACAAUUACAUUUCAUUGGGCAAACAUACGCACACGAAAAUAAAAUAAAAAAAUAUCUCAUGAUACAUGUAUUAACCCCUUCCUAGCUAUAGUAUCGUGGCGUUGCUGAAAGAUAAAG